Molecule: ribosomal RNA, 483 nt
Filed under: uncultured bacterium
Lineage: Bacteria
Description: partial 16S ribosomal RNA
Rfam family: Bacterial small subunit ribosomal RNA
Source: RNAcentral
GACGAACGCUGGCGGCGUGCUUAACACAUGCAAGUCGAACGAUGAAGCUGGAGCUUGCUCCGGUGGAUUAGUGGCGAACGGGUGAGUAACACGUGAGCAAUCUGCCCUUCACUCUGGGAUAACUGCGGGAAACUGUAGCUAAUACCGGAUACGAGACCUUGGGGCAUCCCAGGGUCUGGAAAGAAUUUCGGUGAAGGAUGAGCUCGCGGCCUAUCAGCUAGUUGGUGAGGUAAUGGCUCACCAAGGCGACGACGGGUAGCCGGCCUGAGAGGGUGGCCGGCCAAACUGGGACUGAGACACGGCCCAGACUCCUACGGGAGGCAGCAGUGGGGAAUAUUGCACAAUGGGCGAAAGCCUGAUGCAGCAACGCCGCGUAAGGGAUGAAGGCCUUCGGGUUGUAAACCUCUUUUAGUAGGGAAGAAGCGCAAGUGACGGUACCUACAGAAAAAGCACCGGCUAACUACGUGCCAGCAGCCGCAGUAA